CUGGCGGCGUGCUUAACACAUGCAAGUCGAACGGAAAGGCCCUGCUUUUGUGGGGUGCUCGAGUGGCGAACGGGUGAGUAACACGUGAGUAACCUGCCCUUGACUUUGGGAUAACUUCAGGAAACUGGGGCUAAUACCGGAUAGGAGCUCCUGCUGCAUGGUGGGGGUUGGAAAGUUUCGGCGGUUGGGGAUGGACUCGCGGCUUAUCAGCUUGUUGGUGGGGUAGUGGCUUACCAAGGCUUUGACGGGUAGCCGGCCUGAGAGGGUGACCGGCCACAUUGGGACUGAGAUACGGCCCAGACUCCUACGGGAGGCAGCAGUGGGGAAUAUUGCACAAUGGGCGGAAGCCUGAUGCAGCAACGCCGCGUGCGGGAUGACGGCCUUCGGGUUGUAAACCGCUUUCGCCUGUGACGAAGCGUGAGUGACGGUAAUGGGUAAAGAAGCACCGGCUAACUACGUGCCAGCAGCCGCGGUGAUACGUAGGGUGCGAGCGUUGUCCGGAUUUAUUGGGCGUAAAGGGCUCGUAGGUGGUUGAUCGCGUCGGAAGUGUAAUCUUGGGGCUUAACCCUGAGCGUGCUUUCGAUACGGGUUGACUUGAGGAAGGUAGGGGAGAAUGGAAUUCCUGGUGGAGCGGUGGAAUGCGCAGAUAUCAGGAGGAACACCAGUGGCGAAGGCGGUUCUCUGGGCCUUUCCUGACGCUGAGGAGCGAAAGCGUGGGGAGCGAACAGGCUUAGAUACCCUGGUAGUCCACGCUGUAAACGGUGGGUACUAGGUGUGGGGUCCAUUCCACGGGUUCCGUGCCGUAGCUAACGCUUUAAGUACCCCGCCUGGGGAGUACGGCCGCAAGGCUAAAACUCAAAGGAAUUGACGGGGCCCCGCACAAGCGGCGGAGCAUGCGGAUUAAUUCGAUGCAACGCGUAGAACCUUACCUGGGUUUGACAUGGAUCGGGAGUGCUCAGAGAUGGGUGUGCCUCUUUUGGGGUCGGUUCACAGGUGGUGCAUGGCUGUCGUCAGCUCGUGUCGUGAGAUGUUGGGUUAAGUCCCGCAACGAGCGCAACCCUUGUUCACUGUUGCCAGCACGUUAUGGUGGGGACUCAGUGGAGACCGCCGGGGUCAACUCGGAGGAAGGUGGGGAUGACGUCAAGUCAUCAUGCCCCUUAUGUCCAGGGCUUCACGCAUGCUACAAUGGCUGGUACAGAGAGUGGCGAGCCUGUGAGGGUGAGCGAAUCUCGGAAAGCCGGUCUCAGUUCGGAUUGGGGUCUGCAACUCGACCUCAUGAAGUCGGAGUCGCUAGUAGUCGCAGAUCAGCAACGCUGCGGUGAAUACGUUCCCGGGGCUUGUACACACCGCCCGUCAAGUCAUGAAAGUUGGUAACACCCGAAGCCGGUGGCCUAACCGUUGUGGGGGAGCCGUCGAAGGUGGGACUGGUGAUUAGG
This 1436-nucleotide ribosomal RNA is filed under the name uncultured organism. RNAcentral's name for it is "16S ribosomal RNA". It matches the Rfam family "Bacterial small subunit ribosomal RNA". The record is from RNAcentral.